AUACGAGGGGUGUAAGCGUUAUUCGGAAUUACUGGGCGUAAAGGGUGCGUAGACGGCGCAUUAAGUCUGUUGUUAAAUUUUCCGGCUUAACCGGAAAGCUGCGGUAGAAACUGAUGUGCUAGAGAGUGAGAGAGAGAAGUGGAAUUCCCGGAGUAGCGGUAAAAUGCGUGGAUCUCGGGAGGAACACCAAUGGCGAAGGCAGCUUCUUGGCUCAUUUCUGACGUUGAGGCACGAAAGCGUGGGGAGCAAACAGGAUUAGAAACCCCAGUAGUCC
This 274-nucleotide ribosomal RNA is filed under the name uncultured bacterium. RNAcentral's name for it is "partial 16S ribosomal RNA". It matches the Rfam family "Bacterial small subunit ribosomal RNA", at positions 523 to 796 of the family's 1533-position model. The record is from RNAcentral.